UUCACCUGUUUAUCAAAACAUGUCUUAUUGAAUAUAAUUUUAAGUCAAUCUGCCCAUGAUUUUUUAUUUAAAUGGCUGCAGUAUAAUUAACUGUACAAAGGUAGCAUAAUCAAUUGUUUUUUAAUUAAAAACUAGAAUGAAAGAAUUAAUGAGAUAUAUUCUGUCUCAUAUAUAUUAAAUAAAUUUAAAUUUUUAGUAAAAAUGCUUAAAUUAUUUUAUGGGACGAUAAGACCCUAUAGAAUUUUAUAUAUAUAUUAUAAUUAAUUAUUUAAUUAUUAUAUUUAUAUUUAAUUGGGAGGAUUAGUAAAUUAAAUAAACUUUAUUUUUAAAAUAAACUUUAAUUUUAGAAUAUAAUUUUGAUCUUAUAUUAUAAAUUAAAAAAAUAAAUUACCUUAGGGAUAACAGCGUAAUAUCUUUUUAAAGAUCAUAUUAAUAAAGAUGUUUGCGACCUCGAUGUUGAAUUAAGAUAAAUUUUAGGUGAAGAAAUCUAAAUAUUAAGUCUGUUCGACUUUUAAAAUCUUACAUGAUUUGAGUUCAAAUCGACGUAAGUCAGGUUGGUUUCUAUC
RNAcentral lists this ribosomal RNA (566 nucleotides) under Bombus muscorum. RNAcentral describes it as "partial 16S ribosomal RNA". The stretch from base 398 to 556 matches the Rfam family "Bacterial large subunit ribosomal RNA", at positions 2473 to 2632 of the family's 2925-position model. Lineage: Eukaryota; Metazoa; Arthropoda; Insecta; Hymenoptera; Apidae. The record is from RNAcentral.